RNAcentral lists this ribosomal RNA (429 nucleotides) under uncultured bacterium. RNAcentral's name for it is "bacterial SSU rRNA". It matches the Rfam family "Bacterial small subunit ribosomal RNA", at positions 33 to 507 of the family's 1533-position model. The record is from RNAcentral.
ACGCUGGCGGCAUGCCUAACACAUGCAAGUCGAACGAGACCUUCGGGUCUAGUGGCGCACGGGUGCGUAACGCGUGGGAAUCUGCCCUUUGGGUUCGGAAUAACUUCGGGAAACUGAAGCUAAUACCGGAUGAUGACGUAAGUCCAAAGAUUUAUCGCCCAAGGAUGAGCCCGCGUAGGAUUAGCUAGUUGGUGAGGUAAAGGCUCACCAAGGCGACGAUCCUUAGCUGGUCUGAGAGGAUGAUCAGCCACACUGGGACUGAGACACGGCCCAGACUCCUACGGGAGGCAGCAGUGGGGAAUAUUGGACAAUGGGCGAAAGCCUGAUCCAGCAAUGCCGCGUGAGUGAUGAAGGCCUUAGGGUUGUAAAGCUCUUUUACCCGGGAUGAUAAUGACAGUACCGGGAGAAUAAGCUCCGGCUAACUCCGUG